This 495-nucleotide ribosomal RNA is filed under the name uncultured bacterium. RNAcentral describes it as "partial 16S ribosomal RNA". It matches the Rfam family "Bacterial small subunit ribosomal RNA", at positions 28 to 507 of the family's 1533-position model. The record is from RNAcentral.
GAUGAACGCUGGCGGCGUGCCUAAUACAUGCAAGUAGAACGCUGAAGGAGGAGCUUGCUCUUCUGGAUGAGUUGCGAACGGGUGAGUAACGCGUAGGUAACCUGCCUGGUAGCGGGGGAUAACUAUUGGAAACGAUAGCUAAUACCGCAUGACAACAGUUAUUGCAUGAUAACUGUUUAAAAGGGGCAACUGCUCCACUACCAGAUGGACCUGCGUUGUAUUAGCUAGUUGGUGAGGUAACGGCUCACCAAGGCGACGAUACAUAGCCGACCUGAGAGGGGGAUCGGCCACACUGGGACUGAGACACGGCCCAGACUCCUACGGGAGGCAGCAGUAGGGAAUCUUCGGCAAUGGACGGAAGUCUGACCGAGCAACGCCGCGUGAGUGAAGAAGGUUUUCGGAUCGUAAAGCUCUGUUGUAAGAGAAGAACGAGUGUGAGAGUGGAAAGUUCACACUGUGACGGUAGCUUAUCAGAAAGGGACGGCUAACUACGUG